UACUUAGUGGCGGACGGGUGAGUAACGCGUGGGCAACCUGCCCCGUGCCGGGGGAUACCGCCUGGAAACAGGCGCUAAUACCGCAUAAGCGCAUACAGCCGCAUGGGUGUAUGCGGAAAGCUCCGGCGGCACGGGAUGGGCCCGCGCCCGAUUAGCCAGUUGGCGGGGUAACGGCCCACCAAAGCGACGAUCGGUAGCCGGCCUGAGAGGGCGGACGGCCACAUUGGGACUGAGACACGGCCCAAACUCCUACGGAAGGCAGCAG
RNAcentral lists this ribosomal RNA (265 nucleotides) under uncultured bacterium. Its description in RNAcentral is "partial 16S ribosomal RNA". It matches the Rfam family "Bacterial small subunit ribosomal RNA", at positions 89 to 354 of the family's 1533-position model. The record is from RNAcentral.